GUAUUUAAUAACAAGCAUAGGCGUAUUAUAUUAUAUGAAGAGACACUUGCCGCCUGUAGAACUUAACACUGCACUCACUACAAUUUAUAUACGACCUCUGACGUAGCAAUUUAUUACCUCCACAACUACAAAGGCACUAUGAUGAACAACGUAACAUGGGUUGAGAGUUAGUGAAAACUAAGCAAGUCAUUGUUUACUCGCCGUUGAUGCAAAAUUUAUGAAAUACCUACCAGAUCGUUUACCUUAAGAUAAUCACAUUUAGGAAGCUUCACGACACAUUGGUGAACCGCCAGUACCUACUUACCUGCCUUGAAAUUGCACUGCGAGAAAAUUGCUAUUCUCAGGAAUGAGGCACUUAUUCAAAGUAAAAUAACCAUGAAGUUUCCAAGGAGACUGCGUGGAGGUUGACCUGGUGAAAUAUAUUAGUAAAAACUGGAGUGGGAACUAGUAUUGGAAACUAUGAGAACACAAAAUACCUCUAGGAAGCCCAAGGUUGAGGUGGAAGGAUGAUGUAGUAAAAAUGACGAAGGACAACUGGACACCAAUUGCUCAUAACUGAAUACAUAGCACCAUAUAUGCUCUUAUAUGUAUUUUGUGAAGGCUGUUCAUUUGGAAUACAAAUAAAAUUAUUGUGUAUUAUAAAUAUUUGUAUUUGUCUGUUAUAUAUACUAUUGUAUAAAUCCGUGGGUUAAUCUGGAGACAUAAUAAUAAAAAAACUUAAAAAAAACAUACCACCUUAUUUUAUUGUAGAUACAAUUUGUUCUGUACAUAAUAUAGCAGGGAUCACGGCAUAAAAAUUUGCAAGACACCCUAAAUAAGAACUACUCACAAUAAAGUUUACGUAACAGUCGAUCCCUUACCACUUGUGCCAAAAUCUUUCCUAGAACAUGGGUACAAUUUAUCACUUGUUUUUCGAUAGAGAAAAUACCUACCGCUGUUGAUGUUUUGACCAUGACCGAGGGUGUAGAAAUAGAUUGCUGUUACCAUGUUUGGGAAUAGGGCGGGGUGUAUAUUUAUUUCGCAUUCUUCGAAUUUGUCAAUAGGACAAUUUAUAUCCUAAUUUCCUUUAGUCACGGCAUAGUUUUAGAACGACCUAACCGAUUUUAAUCAUUAGGUUUUGUAUUGUUUUCUUAUACUUUGUAGAAUAAUCUUACUGAACGAUAAAUUAAGAAAAUUGGAAAUUUUCUAUAAACUUUCUUUCAACGUCUGUCGGUAACUAGUACGAAAAAAGUGUGAAGAAUGACAUUUUCGCCGUUUUCAAAUACUUCGAUAAAGUGUGACUCUAAUGAGUUUGUUUAUUACUUUAGCGGUUAGAGGACUAAUUAUGUUGUCAUUACCAGAAGUGAAGUUAUUUAUGACUUGAAAUCAAAAUACAUUGAACUGGUGGACUAAGAAAUGCAAAAACAUUUCAACUUAAUGACUUGAUUUAACGUCAUAAUAAAUUUCAACCUAGAGAAACAAUGAGAGGAAAACUUUACAGUUUAAAUAUGCAUAUGAUUAUAUUGUUAAUAUAUUAUUAUAGUACAUCAAAUAUAUUAUUUUAAUUGCCAUCAACAUAAUUAAAUUUUAUGAUACGUACAAUGUGGUUAGCUGGCGGGAUUGCAUUUACAUUGCGUUCGUUCAUUUUUGUUUGCUAUUUUAAUUUUAUGUUUAAACUUUGGUAAAAAGAUUCGAUGCAAUAGUGCGCAGGGUUGUCAACCCUAAAACUUUUUGUCGAAAUUAUUAAAAAUCUCGUACUCAAUUUGCCUCUACAACGUCGUACUUUGUCAUAUUUUGACAGACUUAUUGGUACUAGUAUACUUAGGGUAAUAACUGGGUAUAGGGUAAGAACAGUCUGUUUUGCAAACUUUUACACAUUCUAUAGACACAAUGUAAUAAGUAACAACUUGUUAUGCUAUGUCUGUAGAAUGUUCACAAAAUACCAAAAUUAAAAAAAAAAGAUAGAUACUAUGUCAAUCUGGCAGUUAGAAUAUAGACAGUUCCUUUUCGUUAACAUGUGGGGUGAGUAGUUUUCUCGCGCUUUCGAAAUUAUGACUUUUUCUUAGGUAGUACAUGACCAUAUAAUCUAAGAAGUGAUUAUAUAAAUUUUACUUAUUAUAAAUGCGAAUGUCUGUCGGUUUGUUAUCAUUUCAUAACUAAACAGCUGAACGAAUCUUAAUGAAAUUUGACGUGAAUAUAGUCUAUAUCACAAAAAUGGAUCGGACUAUCUUUUAUAUAAAGAACAGCGUAAAUAUUUCGUCGUAACGAAAGUUUUCUAUCAAAAUUUUUAGUGUAAUGUCACACACGCAAGUAAAAAAAUGUAGUACCUACGUCCGUUUAAUUUUCAUAUAAAUUGAGGUACCCACUGCCUCUACCUCCAUUUAUGUAUAUGAUCAACCCUUUCCAAGGAGAACUUAUCGAUAGACGUCUCAAUUCCUUUACAUAAAGUUUUUAACAUAUCUUGACAUGGGUUAGCUUAACCUUCCUCUGAAGAGAAGGUAAGAGCUUACUUAGGACAACAUUUCCUAAAUGUUUUUGAUAUUUCUGUAAUGAUUCAACUAAAUACUGAAAUAUUUUUUAUAUUUGUUGUUGAAAAGUUUUUUAAUGUACUAUAUUAGAAUUGUGCAAUUUGACUGAGAGACUUUAUAAAAAGUCGUCUGCGUGGUGGUUAGGUUAUCUUUGUUUCACUUGUUUCAUCCUACAAAUAGAUGGCUUUGUAAACUGUUUUUUGGUUGAAGAUGAGAUAAAGUAGUGAAUUUAUGUAAUAAGAGACAUGACAUUUUAGUCCUCCGGAAUAACAACGUAUGUGUAUCACGUGUUAUCGAGAGCGUAGCGUAACAUAUAACUAAACUUAAUAUACCUAUAAUAUAAUAUAGCGUAGCUUGACAUCAGCCCGUUUUUGCUAUUCAAACUAAAAAAAAUGGAGAAGUCACAUUCUCCAUGGAGAGGAUGAGCGUAAAGUUCAUAUAUAUUGGGCAUUUUGACAAGAAGUUUGUGAUAUGACAGUGAAAUUACUACUAUACUUAAUUACUGUGAUAUAAGAUUUUUAUACUACAAGUGUCUGUAAUGCCCGAAUAUAUUUUAUAUUGUCUGUUUACCGCGAGGUGGACCGUAGUCUUGAUUGCCACUUUCGUUCUUGUUAAUUGAAAUUUGAAUAUAAUGAAUAACAAGUAUUAUUUAACAAAUUCUUAAAUCGAUUAUCUGAGGCCAUUUUGUAUUCCUUUCUUUUCGAGAGCUUUCACCAAAUAGGCAGCAAAUUGUCACCUCGGGCUAUGAAACUCAUCUCGACACUUCAGCCCAAACUUUCAUUGGUGAAAUGCAAAACAAAGAUAACAAAAUGUCAGCUAGUCCUCGACGAGAUACUUUAAAUUCCUUGUUAAAUGAACUCACCAUUGUUUCAACUUUGCAAUUUCAGACAUUUAUCAAUAACGAAUGUAUUACAUUAUUUCGUUUUAGAUCUGCAUUAGAUAUGUAGUAUCUGAGAUUCAUUUUAUAAUUUAGCAACAAAAAAAAUGAUAAAAAAAUAUUACCAUAAUCGUAUCAGAAAUAGUGAAGAUCACACUGCAAAGGU
Achroia grisella is the source of this 3550-nucleotide long non-coding RNA. RefSeq lists it as uncharacterized. The transcript has 4 exons. Lineage: Eukaryota; Metazoa; Arthropoda; Insecta; Lepidoptera; Pyralidae. The record is from RefSeq and is a predicted model, not a curated record.